Molecule: non-coding RNA, 71 nt
Organism: Protopterus annectens (West African lungfish)
Lineage: Eukaryota; Metazoa; Chordata; Ceratodontiformes; Protopteridae
Source: the annotation of a RefSeq genome assembly
GGGGGUAUAGCUCAGUGGUAGAGCAUUUGACUGCAGAUCAAAAGGCCCCAGUUCAGAUCCGGGUGCUCCCU